CACACGACUCUCGGCAACGGAUAUCUCGGCUCUCGCAUCGAUGAAGAACGUAGCGAAAUGCGAUACCUGGUGUGAAUUGCAGAAUCCCGCGAACCAUCGAGUCUUUGAACGCAAGUUGCGCCCGAGGCCAUUCGGCCGAGGGCACGCCUGCUUGGGCGUCACG
This 163-nucleotide ribosomal RNA is filed under the name Amphibromus scabrivalvis. RNAcentral describes it as "5.8S ribosomal RNA". It matches the Rfam family "5.8S ribosomal RNA". From Rfam's summary of the family: 5.8S ribosomal RNA (5.8S rRNA) is a component of the large subunit of the eukaryotic ribosome. It is transcribed by RNA polymerase I as part of the 45S precursor that also contains 18S and 28S rRNA. The record is from RNAcentral. Lineage: Eukaryota; Viridiplantae; Streptophyta; Magnoliopsida; Poales; Poaceae.